UACGUAGGGGGCUAGCGUUGUCCGGAAUCAUUGGGCGUAAAGCGCGUGUAGGCGGCCUUGUAAGUCCGUUCUGAAAGUCCGGGGCUCAACCCCGGGAGGCGGAUGGAUACUGCAAGGCUCGAGUCCGGAAGAGGCGAGUGGAAUUCCCGGUGUAGCGGUGAAAUGCGCAGAUAUCAGGAAGAACACCCGUGGCGAAAGCGGCUCUCUGGAACGGUACUGACGCUGAGACGCGAAAGCGUGGGGAGCAAACAGG
This 253-nucleotide ribosomal RNA is filed under the name uncultured bacterium. RNAcentral describes it as "partial 16S ribosomal RNA". It matches the Rfam family "Bacterial small subunit ribosomal RNA", at positions 524 to 776 of the family's 1533-position model. The record is from RNAcentral.